AUUGAACGCUGGCGGCAUGCCUUACACAUGCAAGUCGAACGGCAGCACGGACUUCGGUCUGGUGGCGAGUGGCGAACGGGUGAGUAAUGUAUCGGAACGUACCUUUCAGUGGGGGAUAACGUAGCGAAGUUACGCUAAUACCGCAUAUUCUGUGAGCAGGAAAGCAGGGGAUCGCAAGACCUUGCGCUGAUUGAGCGGCCGAUAUCAGAUUAGCUAGUUGGUGGGGUAAAGGCCUACCAAGGCUACGAUCUGUAGCGGGUCUGAGAGGAUGAUCCGCCACACUGGAACUGAGACACGGUCCAGACUCCUACGGGAGGCAGCAGUGGGGAAUUUUGGACAAUGGGGGGCAACCCUGAUCCAGCCAUGCCGCGUGAGUGAAGAAGGCCUUCAGGUUGUAAAGCUCUUUCGGUCCGGGAAGAAUACGCAUAGGCUAAUACCCUGUGUGGAUGACGGUACCGGAAUAAGAAGCACCGGCUAACUACGUGCCAGCAGCCGCGGUAA
RNAcentral lists this ribosomal RNA (501 nucleotides) under uncultured bacterium. RNAcentral describes it as "bacterial SSU rRNA". It matches the Rfam family "Bacterial small subunit ribosomal RNA", at positions 30 to 523 of the family's 1533-position model. The record is from RNAcentral.